CUUUUUCUCUUUUAUACCCGUUUGAUGGUGACAGAAAUUGAAAACUUUACUACAGCCUAAGAUUACUGAAUACUGAACACAAACAAACAUACAUACGUAUUCUCAAAACACAAAAGCUAACAUUAUUUUGCAGGAAGACAGGUCUCCAGAUAGCGCUGGCUAACCCAGCUCUCCCCACCCUGCCUAUUGCAGCUCUCAGAAUAAUUGUAGAAUAAGUCAAUAAUGAAAUGUCCUGAGAUAAAGAGGAAAUGUCUGGAACAUUCCAGGCUAUGUCCUUUUUCUUCCUAGAACAGGAUGUCCUACAAUGCUUGUGCUCCGUGCAAGGUUGUGCCAAGGUUAUAAAACCCAGGGCAGAGUGCCUCUAGUGUCCUCCAGCUACAAUGUGAAGUGGGGCAUUCGCAGACAAGACACUUCUCACCCCGGGCAGCCUUCCUGAGACUUGGGGGACAAGCUUGCCAUGGACUUUAGGUGAUUGGGAGGAAGGCCUGAGAGGAACACAGGUCUUCUCUAUCUCACUUCAACAAACAGUGAAGAAGGAGUGUGGUAGAGGAGAGAAGAAAACAAAAGGAUGACAGAGCUAAGAAGGACAGAAAUGAAAAGAGCAUUCGUUCAGUCUGUUCUCUCAUUAUCGUACCUCGGAACCUUGGAAGAUUCUUUUUUGAGAAUUCUUUUCAUUAUGAUGCUAGGAAAAUGAUAGACUGGAAAAGCCAGAAAUUCUGAAAUUCUAUAAAACAUGAUCUCAUCAAUAAUGUAUACCUUCCCUACAACUUGCAGAAAAUAACAUAUUAAAAUGUCCAAUUUUAAAGAGGAAACAAGGCUGUGUGCUGUAAUAUUUUUCAUCCAAUAUCAAUGCUCUUGCGCAUACAUAAUGUGUUCCAGUGAUUUCUACAGUUUCUCCCCUGACUGGCUCCCUGACUUG
RNAcentral lists this long non-coding RNA (919 nucleotides) under Homo sapiens (human). Its description in RNAcentral is "HSALNT0059214". Lineage: Eukaryota; Metazoa; Chordata; Mammalia; Primates; Hominidae. The record is from RNAcentral.